AGUGAACGCUGGCGGUAGGCCUAACACAUGCAAGUCGAACGGCAGCACAGUAAGAGCUUGCUCUUACGGGUGUCGAGUGGCGGACGGUUGAGUAAUACAUCGGAAUCUACUUUUUCGUUGGUGAUAACGUAGGGAAACUUACGCUAAUACCGCAUACAUCCUCCUGGUGAAAGCAGGCGUUCUUCGGACCUUUCGCGAUUGAUUGAGCCGAUGUCGGAUUAGCUAGUUGGCGGGGUAAAGGCCCACCAAGGCGACGAUCCGUAGCUGGUCUGAGAGGAUGAUCCGGCACACUGGAACUGAGAAACGGUCCAGACUCCUACGGGAGGAAGCAGUCGGGAAUACUGGACAAUGGGGGAGAGCCUGAUCCAGCCAUACCGCGUGGGUGAUGAAGGACUUAGGGUUGUAAAGUGCUGUUGUUGGGAAAGAAAAGAAGCAGGUUCAUCCCGCGCUGUUCUGACGGUACCCAAAGAAUAAGCACCGGCUAACUUCGUG
RNAcentral lists this ribosomal RNA (492 nucleotides) under uncultured bacterium. Its description in RNAcentral is "partial 16S ribosomal RNA". It matches the Rfam family "Bacterial small subunit ribosomal RNA", at positions 29 to 507 of the family's 1533-position model. The record is from RNAcentral.